GGUGGUGGAUGGGAACUACUGUAGCUGACACUAUGCAAGUGAAAGAUAGGCGGUUAUCUUGUCGACGUAUUGAAUAACAUAAUAUGUAUUCUGGCAAUGACUGUCGUGGUGAGUAUUUCAGACACUGUUGGUUUCAUUUCCCUUUGCGAAGUUCAACAUUUCUCCUUUUUCCUGUUUGAGCUGGCCAUGUAAGUUGGCCCAUCGUUGUUUUUGAACUUCGCUGAAAUUUGCAUGCAAAUUUUCUCCACAGCUUGUCGGGUGUUUAAAAUGUCGCAAAAGAAUAAUAGAAUUCUCUUAACUUGAGAGGUUUGAAACUAUAAAAUUUUGAAAUGAUGACUUAAUUGAUGGUAAGUGGCAGUGCCAAUAAUCUAGCCUAUGAGUAAACUUGAAGCCAAUCUUGUGUUGCUUUGGAAUUGACUGCAUAAGCCCCUAAUCUCAGCAAGCUGCAGUCAUUGAUGAAAUAGAAUUGUGCAUCUACAGUACAGCAGGCAGAGACAGCACCUAAAUUUAGCAAGCUGCUGCCUGCAGAACGUGAAGAGGUGAAGAUUGUUGGCUUUGGCUCGCGACCUGCUCUGCGUAAAAUACAAAGACUUUACUACGAGGCUAAAGCAGAUGCAGUUUUCUUGUAGACAUUUCAAAGUCCACUCAUGGAAGGCUAGGCUUGAUGGUAACAGUUGCCAGAAACACCACCUUGGACUAGUAACCCCAUGCCUUUGUAUGAAUUCUUUUUCCGAGAGCCGAUGCUGAGGACUCAUGCCCUCCCCCCCCACCUUCCUGGCAGAGGACCAGCCGCGGAGGACCCAAAGGGAAGCGUCUCUAACGGACCACGAAGGUUAGUUUUUGUUUCAGUGUCCAAAGAGGAAGUAGAGAUGGGUUGGGCGUGGUGUAAUUGGAAAGUUUUCCAAAGACUGAAAAUCCCGUGCUAAAAUACGAUCCCUUCUGUUGUAACUAGAACGGUAGUGACGCACAUUCUGACAUCUGUAGAUAUUCCAUUUUCUGGAGCAUACCCGGUAUCCUACCUACCGUAUGACCUUGUAUUUUUCCACAAGCAUCGCUCUCCGUUAAAACCUAGCUCUAAAUUCUGCGGCUCGAGGGAGAGUGCAAGUUAACUUGAGCGAGUUGCGGCUAAAGCGUAGAAAUCGAGGUGUAAAGACUGCCUUUUUUGUGGGAGCUACAGUAGUUUUCUCCCGCUUUCUGUUUUCUCAGAGUACAUGGUGUUUCAAGAGAUGUAUUCUGGAAGAUCCUCGAGUCAUGCAGGACCAGCCAAGAGAUAAGAAUACCUUUUGUGUCAAGGGAUUUCUUCUGGAUGGAAGAGCAUCGAGUCCUUUAAGAACAGCCUCGAGAAAAGAGCCGAUGCUGAGGACUCGUGCCCUUCCCCCCCACCUUCCUGGCAGAGGACCAGCCGCGGAGGACCCAAAGGGAAGCGUCUCUAACGGACCACGAAGAGUACAUGGUGUUUCAAGAGAUGUAUUCUGGAAGAUCCUCGAGUCAUGCAGGACCAGCCAAGAGAUAAGAAUACCUUUUGUGUCAAGGGAUUUCUUCUGGAUGGAAGAGCAUCGAGUCCUUUAAGAACAGCCUCGAGAAAAGAGCCGAUGCUGAGGACUCGUGCCCUUCCCCCCCACCUUCCUGGCAGAGGACCAGCCGCGGAGGACCCAAAGGGAAGCGUCUCUAACGGACCACGAAGAGUACAUGGUGUUUCAAGAGAUGUAUUCUGGAAGAUCCUCGAGUCAUGCAGGACCAGCCAAGAGAAAAGAAUACCUUUUGUGUCAAGGGAUUUCUUCUGGAUGGAAGAGCAUCGAGUCCUUUAAGAACAGCCUCGAGAAAAGAGCCGAUGCUGAGGACUCGUGCCCUUCCCCCCCACCUUCCUGGCAGAGGACCAGCCGCGGAGGACCCAAAGGGAAGCGUCUCUAACGGACCACGAAGAGUACAUGGUGUUUCAAGAGAUGUAUUCUGGAAGAUCCUCGAGUCAUGCAGGACCAGCCAAGAGAAAAGAAUACCUCUUGUGUCAAGGGAUUUCUUCUGGAUGGAAGAGCAUCGAGUCCUUUAAGAACAGCCUCGAGAAAAGAGCCGAUGCUGAGGACUCGUGCCCUUCCCCCCCACCUUCCUGGCAGAGGACCAGCCGCGGAGGACCCAAAGGGAAGCGUCUCUAACGGACCACGAAGAGUACAUGGUGUUUCAAGAGAUGUAUUCUGGAAGAUCCUCGAGUCAUGCAGGACCAGCCAAGAGAAAAGAAUACCUUUUGUGUCAAGGGAUUUCUUCUGGAUGGAAGAGCAUCGAGUCCUUUAAGAACAGCCUCGAGAAAAGAGCCGAUGCUGAGGACUCGUGCCCUUCCCCCCCACCUUCCUGGCAGAGGACCAGCCGCGGAGGACCCAAAGGGAAGCGUCUCUAACGGACCACGAAGAGUACAUGGUGUUUCAAGAGAUGUAUUCUGGAAGAUCCUCGAGUCAUGCAGGACCAGCCAAGAGAAAAGAAUACCUUUUGUGUCAAGGGAUUUCUUCUGGAUGGAAGAGCAUCGAGUCCUUUAAGAACAGCCUCGAGAAAAGAGCCGAUGCUGAGGACUCGUGCCCUUCCCCCCCACCUUCCUGGCAGAGGACCAGCCGCGGAGGACCCAAAGGGAAGCGUCUCUAACGGACCACGAAGAGUACAUGGUGUUUCAAGAGAUGUAUUCUGGAAGAUCCUCGAGUCAUGCAGGACCAGCCAAGAGAAAAGAAUACCUUUUGUGUCAAGGGAUUUCUUCUGGAUGGAAGAGCAUCGAGUCCUUUAAGAACAGCCUCGAGAAAAGAGCCGAUGCUGAGGACUCGUGCCCUUCCCCCCCACCUUCCUGGCAGAGGACCAGCCGCGGAGGACCCAAAGGGAAGCGUCUCUAACGGACCACGAAGAGUACAUGGUGUUUCAAGAGAUGUAUUCUGGAAGAUCCUCGAGUCAUGCAGGACCAGCCAAGAGAAAAGAAUACCUUUUGUGUCAAGGGAUUUCUUCUGGAUGGAAGAGCAUCGAGUCCUUUAAGAACAGCCUCGAGAAAAGAGCCGAUGCUGAGGACUCGUGCCCUUCCCCCCCACCUUCCUGGCAGAGGACCAGCCGCGGAGGACCCAAAGGGAAGCGUCUCUAACGGACCACGAAGAGUACAUGGUGUUUCAAGAGAUGUAUUCUGGAAGAUCCUCGAGUCAUGCAGGACCAGCCAAGAGAAAAGAAUACCUUUUGUGUCAAGGGAUUUCUUCUGGAUGGAAGAGCAUCGAGUCCUUUAAGAACAGCCUCGAGAAAAGGUGAGAAACUUGCAAUAUUCUUUGCCUUCUUUUCUCUUGCAGUAUACUGAUGGUAAAUGUUAAAGGGCCAUAAUUUGGAAGACUGAAGACUGAUGAUCAGCCCCUAAGACUAUCAAGCUGCAGUCACUGAUGAAAUAGGCUAUACCACAGUUUUCAGUCGGCAGAGACAGCACCUAAAGAAAACAAGCUGCUGCCGACCAGUAGGCCCACGAAUAAUCUUUCUGACAUUGCGAUGAGUGAAACUGAUGGUAAAUAUUAAAGGGCUAUAAUUGAAGACUGAUGAUCAGCCCCUAAGACUAUCAAGCUGCAGUCACUGAUGAAAUAGGCUAUGUGUAGAGUGGGCAGAAACAGCACCUAAGAGUAGCGAGCUGCUGCCCACUAUAAAACCGCAGUAGAUGAAGAUUGGUCUGUGAUCGGAGGGGAGGGGGUGGAUGGGAACUACUGUAGCUGACACUAUGCAAGUGAAAGAUAGGCGGUUAUCUUGUCGACGUAUUGAAUAACAUAAUAUGUAUUCUGGCAAUGACUGUCGUGGUGAGUAUUUCAGACACUGUUGGUUUCAUUUCCCUUUGCGAAGUUCAACAUUUCUCCUUUUUCCUGUUUGAGCUGGCCUUGUAAGUUGGCCCAUCGUUGUUUUUGAACUUCGCUGAAAUUUGCAUGCAAAUUUUCUCCACAGCUUGUCGGGUGUUUAAAAUGUCGCAAAAGAAUAAUAGAAUUCUCUUAACUUGAGAGGUUUGAAACUAUAAAAUUUUAAAAUGAUGACUUAAUUGAUGGUAAGUGGCAGUGCCAAUAAUCUAGCCUAUGAGUAAACUUGAAGCCAAUCUUGUGUUGCUUUUGAAUUGACUGCAUAAGCCCCUAAUCUCAGCAAGCUGCAGUCAUUGAUGAAAUAGAAUUGUUGUGCAUCUACAGUACAGCAGGCAGAGACAGCACCUAAAUUUAGCAAGCUGCUGCCUGCAGAACGUGAAGAGGUGAAGAUUGUUGGCUUUGGCUCGCGACCUGCUCUGCGUAAAAUACAAAGACUUUACUACGAGGCUAAAGCAGAUGCAGUUUUCUUGUAGACAUUUCAAAGUCCACUCAUGGAAGGCUAGGCUUGAUGGUAACAGUUGCCAGAAACACCACCUUGGACUAGUAACCCCAUGCCUUUGUAUGAAUUCUUUUUCCGAGAGCCGAUGCUGAGGACUCGUGCCCUUCCCCCCCACCUUCCUGGCAGAGGACCAGCCGCGGAGGACCCAAAGGGAAGCGUCUCUAACGGACCACGAAGAGUACAUGGUGUUUCAAGAGAUGUAUUCUGGAAGAUCCUCGAGUCAUGCAGGACCAGCCAAGAGAAAAGAAUACCUUUUGUGUCAAGGGAUUUCUUCUGGAUGGAAGAGCAUCGAGUCCUUUAAGAACAGCCUCGAGAAAAGAGCCGAUGCUGAGGACUCGUGCCCUUCCCCCCCACCUUCCUGGCAGAGGACCAGCCGCGGAGGACCCAAAGGGAAGCGUCUCUAACGGACCACGAAGAGUACAUGGUGUUUCAAGAGAUGUAUUCUGGAAGAUCCUCGAGUCAUGCAGGACCAGCCAAGAGAAAAGAAUACCUUUUGUGUCAAGGGAUUUCUUCUGGAUGGAAGAGCAUCGAGUCCUUUAAGAACAGCCUCGAGAAAAGAGCCGAUGCUGAGGACUCGUGCCCUUCCCCCCCACCUUCCUGGCAGAGGACCAGCCGCGGAGGACCCAAAGGGAAGCGUCUCUAACGGACCACGAAGAGUACAUGGUGUUUCAAGAGAUGUAUUCUGGAAGAUCCUCGAGUCAUGCAGGACCAGCCAAGAGAAAAGAAUACCUUUUGUGUCAAGGGAUUUCUUCUGGAUGGAAGAGCAUCGAGUCCUUUAAGAACAGCCUCGAGAAAAGGUGAGAAACUUGCAAUAUUCUUUGCCUUCUUUUCUCUUGCAGUAUACUGAUGGUAAAUGUUAAAGGGCCAUAAUUUGGAAGACUGAAG
This is an RNA transcript of Aplysia californica (California sea hare), 5226 nucleotides long. RefSeq lists it as uncharacterized. The transcript has 34 exons. NCBI's taxonomy places the organism in Eukaryota, Metazoa, Mollusca, Gastropoda, Aplysiida, Aplysiidae. The record is from RefSeq and is a predicted model, not a curated record.